Molecule: ribosomal RNA, 475 nt
Filed under: uncultured bacterium
Lineage: Bacteria
Description: bacterial SSU rRNA
Rfam family: Bacterial small subunit ribosomal RNA
Source: RNAcentral
CGCUGGCGGCGUGCCUAAUACAUGCAAGUCGAACGAACGGAUUGAGGAGCUUGCUCUUCAAGGAAGUUAGUGGCGGACGGGUGAGUAACACGUGGGUAACCUGCCCUUCAGCGGGGGAUAACAUCCGGAAACGGGUGCUAAUACCGCAUAGUUUCUUUUUGUCGCAUGGCAGAGGGAAGAAAGAGAGGCUCUUCGGAGCUUUCGCUGAAGAGGGGCUUGCGUCUGAUUAGCUAGUUGGAGGGGUAACGGCCCACCAAGGCGACGAUCGGUAGCCGGACUGAGAGGUUGAACGGCCACAUUGGGACUGAGACACGGCCCAGACUCCUACGGGAGGCAGCAGUGGGGAAUAUUGCACAAUGGGGGGAACCCUGAUGCAGCGACGCCGCGUGGAGGAAGAAGGUCUUCGGAUUGUAAACUCCUGUUGUUAGGGACGAUAAUGACGGUACCUAACAAGGAAGCACCGGCUAACUACGUG